GAGUUUGAUCCUGGCUCAGGGUGAACUGCUGGCGGCGCGCUUAAUGCAUGCAAGUCGAGCGUGAUCGUGGCUUCGGCCACAAUGAUAAAGCGGCAGACGGCUGAGUAACGCGUGAGUAAUCUGCCCUCCGGUGGGGUAUAACCUCGGGAAACUGAGGAUAAUCCCGCAUACGACCUGCAUCCUUUGGGAUGCAGAUGAAAGGCUUCGGUCGCCGGAGGAGGAGCUCGCGUCCUAUCAGGUUGUUGGUGGGGUAAUGGCCCACCAAGCCGAUGACGGGUAGCUGGUCUGAGAGGAUGACCAGCCAGAGGGGGACUGAGAACGGCCCCCACUCCUACGGGAGGCAGCAGCAGGGAAUCUUGGGCAAUGGGCGAAAGCCUGACCCAGCGACGUCGCGUGGGGGACGAAGGCCUUCGGGUUGUAAACCCCUUUUCCGAGGGAAGAUACAGGACGGUACCUCGGGAAUAAGCCCCGGCUAACUACGUGCCAGCAGCCGCGGUAAUACGUAGGGGGCAAGCGUUACCCGGAAUCACUGGGCGUAAAGUGCGCGUAGGCGGUUGGAUAAGUCUCUUGUGAAAGCUCCCGGCUCAACUGGGAGAGGUCAAGGGAUACUAUUCGACUUGAGGACAGCAGAGGUAAGCAGAAUUCCCGGUGUAGCGGUGGAAUGCGUAGAUAUCGGGAGGAACACCAGUGGCGAAAGCGGCUUACUGGGCUGUAUCUGACGCUGAGGCGCGAGAGCGUGGGGAGCAAACUGGAUUAGAUACCCUGGUAGUC
RNAcentral lists this ribosomal RNA (771 nucleotides) under uncultured bacterium. RNAcentral describes it as "bacterial SSU rRNA". It matches the Rfam family "Bacterial small subunit ribosomal RNA", at positions 9 to 795 of the family's 1533-position model. The record is from RNAcentral.